GCAAUACACUCUUUCAGAUGUUGCAAAGAAAGGGGAUGCGUCUGAAUACAACAGUACCAUUUAUCUCCAGGGCAUACGUUCCAACAUCUCCAGUGAAAGCCUGAAACCAGUUCCAAACCUGACUGGCAUCAUUUGGAACACGUUUCUGUUCGUCUCUCCCAUACAGAAAUUUAAUGCCUUUUCCAUCCUAAUUAAGCGCUUAUCAUGUACUGCGGCUGUAACUUGUGCAGUUUGAAGGGCCACAGCAAAACUAGCAGGAAUUUUUUUCUUCUUUCAUGGAUCGAACGUUCUUUCUUACCAUAGAUCUUAGCAAACUCGGCAUAUGAUUUUUUUUCUUUCUCUAUUAAGUUGAAAACUUUCACCUUUUCACUUAAAGGAAACACUUUACGGCUUCUCUUUGGAAAACCCGAAUUGCCAGCAUCACUACUCUUGUGCUUUGGGGCCGUUAUGAAGUAAAAUAAGAGUUCCUUGAGCACACAGCACUUUGAUGCCCAACAGGUGAUCUGAUAACCUAGACGGUCACUAAGUGACUAAUAGUAGGUGGUGUAGACAACGUGGAGAUGCUGGACAGUGGGAAGAUUCACUCCCUUGGUGAGAUGGAGCAAAGAUGGCAUGAGAUUUCAUCGCGCUACUCAGAACUGUGUGGAAUUUCAAACUUAUCAAUUGUUUAUUUCUGGAAUUUUCCCUUCAGUGAAACCAAGGAAAGCAAUAUCACAGAUAAAGGGGAUUUCCGAAUAUAUAAACAAAAAGCAUUUACUGAAUACAAGAAUAAACUAUUUCUGCUCCUC
RNAcentral lists this long non-coding RNA (788 nucleotides) under Homo sapiens (human). Its description in RNAcentral is "HSALNT0339377". Lineage: Eukaryota; Metazoa; Chordata; Mammalia; Primates; Hominidae. The record is from RNAcentral.